UUGGCAAACCAUCGGAAACGGUGGGACGCAAAGUUAUGAACCUAAAGUAUUUACUAUGGUAGUCAGAC
RNAcentral lists this non-coding RNA (68 nucleotides) under uncultured Eubacterium sp. RNAcentral's name for it is "Cyclic di-GMP-I riboswitch". It matches the Rfam family "c-di-GMP-I riboswitch aptamer", at positions 11 to 80 of the family's 87-position model. From Rfam's summary of the family: GEMM was predicted in a large-scale screen for bacterial structured RNA regulatory elements. Genes associated with GEMM are involved in a diverse array of functions, including chemotaxis regulation, signal transduction, secretion and chitin. Lineage: Bacteria; Bacillati; Bacillota; Clostridia; Eubacteriales; Eubacteriaceae. The record is from RNAcentral.